This 463-nucleotide ribosomal RNA is filed under the name uncultured bacterium. RNAcentral describes it as "bacterial SSU rRNA". It matches the Rfam family "Bacterial small subunit ribosomal RNA", at positions 28 to 507 of the family's 1533-position model. The record is from RNAcentral.
GACGAACGCUGGCGGCGUGCCUAACACAUGCAAGUCGAACGGGGUAAUUUCUUCGGAGAUUACUUAGUGGCGAACGGGUGAGUAACGCGUGAGAAACCUGCCUCUCAGUGGGGGACAACAGUUGGAAACGACUGCUAAUACCGCAUAACGCAUAUUGAUCGCAUGGUCGAUAUGCCAAAGAUUUAUCGCUGAAAGAUGGCCUCGCGUCUGAUUAGCUAGUUGGUGAGGUAACGGCCCACCAAGGCGACGAUCAGUAGCCGGACUGAGAGGUUGACCGGCCACAUUGGGACUGAGAUACGGCCCAGACUCCUACGGGAGGCAGCAGUGGGGAAUAUUGGGCAAUGGGCGCAAGCCUGACCCAGCAACGCCGCGUGAAGGAAGAAGGCUUUCGGGUUGUAAACUUCUUUUAUAUGGGACGAAGAAAAUGACGGUACCAUAUGAAUAAGCCACGGCUAACUACGUG